This 609-nucleotide ribosomal RNA is filed under the name Triticum aestivum (bread wheat). RNAcentral's name for it is "partial small subunit ribosomal RNA". Lineage: Eukaryota; Viridiplantae; Streptophyta; Magnoliopsida; Poales; Poaceae. The record is from RNAcentral.
AUGCCUGCAUUGAGACCAGCAUGGGGGAACCCAAGGGGAUUGUCAGCAAAACCAGUGGGGGAUAAUACUUUUAUUGUGGAAUUUGCUAACAAGGAAGACUUGGAUAGAGUUGUGGGAGGGGCUCCUUGGACAGUAGGUAAACAUGCAGUUCUGUUCAAGAUCUUUGAUCCAAGACUGAAACCGUCUGAAGUUACUUUUGACAGAAUUUCUUUGUGGGCACGAAUCAAGGACCUUCGCUUUGAAUUAAUGAAUAGGACCUGGGGGGAAUCCCUGGGUGCUAAAAUUGGUACUGUAGAGAAGGUUGAUGUAGAUAGCCAGGGUAACUAUCUACGAAUUCGAGUUUCUGUGGAGAUCUCAAAGCCGCUAAUGAGAUGGGUCACCGUUUUUUCAAAGAAGAAAGCUUAUGAGAGGUAUGAAGUGCAAUAUGAAAAAAUUCCACACUACUGCUUCUCCUGUGGCAUCAUUGGCCAUUCUUCACUAGAAUGUUCAACCCCGGGAGAGAGAGGUGAGGAUGGUAAACUUCCUUAUAAUGCCGACAGGCUGUGCGUGAAGGAUGACAAAAAAGAAAAAUAUUUUUACUUCAUGGUCAGGACAGAGUUCACAGUCUAG